Molecule: long non-coding RNA, 3704 nt
Filed under: Sinocyclocheilus anshuiensis
Lineage: Eukaryota; Metazoa; Chordata; Actinopteri; Cypriniformes; Cyprinidae
Description: lncRNA (ENSSANG00000042064.1)
Source: RNAcentral
UAUGAUUCAGUGGAAUCUGUUCCACUUGAGGUGCUCGAAUCAUCGCACUAUUUGGAUAACAACAUUUUUGGGGAAUUCCUUAAAUGAACCAAACAUUGAAACCAACAUUAAUGGGUCGUUGACACAGACAUUUAUAGAUAAUUGCUAUACACUUAAGUCACGCAAUUGAUGUUCUCCGACGAUAUAAUGCGAUCAAACCAGACUGACUGCAGCUGUCAUGUGGAAACCGGGAAGGCCCCUCCUUUCGGUAACUUGUCCUCUCCGUUCAAUCCGAACUCACACGAAGCAUGUCCCGCAGCGAUAUAGCCCCAGUCAUGCAGAGGCAAAACGAAAGCGAUGAGAUCCAGCAGUGACGGAAGUUUAAUUCCAAUGGACUAUGAGCGUUUCAAUGUCUUAAAGACGAGGAAAGCAUUCGAGUCAAUACAACAACUGACCACCAAACUGAUUCACGUGGACAAUCAAUAGGAUAGCAUGCAUUUCCAUCUGUCCAUCUUGAAACGAGUUUGUAGUGACGGCUUCGGUCUGCAUGCGAAUAUGGCUCAAAAAUGACCAAUGGAGGCCAUUAAUGAACAACUAAAUUCAAACUGCACAAUAAGAAAUGUCAGCAUGUCGGAGCCAAAAAAUGUAAGAAAAUGACUAUACUUAUCUAUUAAACAAAUUCCAACUGUUCAAGCGUUUACGCAUAUGUUAGUCAUGUUUCUCUCUUGAACUGAAAGAGCAAAAGUAGUUUCUAAGAUUUGGUUAGUAAAUGUUCUGACCUGCCAUUCUCACUCAUUACAGAGCUUAUACAUAUGAAGUUCAGGGAAAGCUGGGUGCUGUUCACAGCACAUAGACACAGAUGCAACUUGUUAGUUUAACAACCCUGUUUGAAGACACAAGUUUCUCCUCCAUUCUUGUCACUCAUCUGCUGGUUUGUUUCUGAUGUGCUCACAGGCACAACAGUCCAUCCACAGAAAAAUCUGCAGGGUUAACGGAAAACUGAGGAGAAUCGGGAGGGAAUCAGAGAAUGUAAAUGGACAACUAAAAGAUGUUUUAUAUAAACUUGUGGAAGAAAUAAAUGCGUCCUUGAGAUGUUGGUGCCAUCAGAAGAGGGAGGGGACAAAAAAUCCAAAACAGCAAAUACGAAAGUGGAAGAUUUGCAGAGUGAAAGACAUUCUUGCCAAAUUACAGAGACAAUUUGAGCAAUACAAUGCGUAUCUGUCCCUCAGCACAGACCUUCCAGAGCGUGGGAAGACUUCAGAGCAAACCGUUAUAUAAUACUUGGCCUCCAUCCAUCUCUACUACAACAAAUUAAUGUACAGAAUAUGAAGUAACUGGACUAACCAUGUACCUUUCACACUAUUCAGUAUUUGUCUGAAGACAAACAAUGCUUUUUAUGGGAAAAUACAUGCUAAGCAUAAACAUGAAAAAUACUACUAUGCAUGAAAAUGUUUCAAAACUUUGUACUUUGUAUUGUUAUUUUUGCUAUUGAUUGCUGAACGAGUAGAGUUUAACUGUACAUUGCUGUGACACAAAGUUGGCGUCAAAGCCUAUAUUAUAUUAAUUCUCUAGGCCUCAAGUUAGAACUUUAUAAUCUACACAUACUUCUUAUUUGGGGAAGCGACCCUAUUCAGCCCACCCAAUUCCAAAUCUUAUACGUUUUUUCAAUUAAUUCUGAGAAAGCCGAAGUUUAAGCUCUCAUUGAAACACUUGUUUUUUUCAAACAAAAUUGAAUUGCUUUAUUUAAUUGCAAACCUCUGAAAUGGGCAUAUAAGUACACAUAUAUAAUUCCAGCACCUAUUUAACAAUAACCAAACAACUUUUUAUAUGGCUGUUUCUUUAGAAACCGUUUUUAAGAAAGUCAGCAGAUUUAUCUUUUCUUUGGUUCAUCUAUCAGGACCCAGUUUUUCACUGUUAGUUUCAGGUUUUUCUUUUCAACUCCAUUUUUUUUAUGUUGUUUUGACAAAGCAGCACGUUUGUGAACCUUCCCUUAUUUUUAGGCCAGUAUUUCCAGUUCGGGGAGGCAUAACAACUGUAGCAAUUGUUGGGCCCAAUAUAAAACUUUCAAUACGGGUCCCCCAGUAAUCUGGAUCACAUUCCGUACCCCUUUUGCAGUAGCAAGUCUUGACUUUUUUUUUUUUUUACCCAGCAUACAAUGACAAAUAUUGUAAGUAGGUAAAGUUAAUGAACUGGAUGUGCUCCAAACGCAGUGAAUUUAGUUAAUGCUUUUUAUAUGUGGUUCCUAGUUUUGUGGGUUAUCAAUAGAACCAUUCCUUAUAAAGCCUCUUGAAAAGAAUCAUAUUUAUGUAUUAUAAUAACAGACAAAACAUUAAACUUUGUCUUUGACACAAAUGGUUCCAUUUAAUGUGGUUGUCCACAGUUUUUACUGUUUUUCUUUCUACCACAUCUAUCUUUGUGAGCAAAACUCUGCAUUCCACACUAACUACAGAGGCUCAAGAUUUUCAGACACAGAAUAUUGCUUUUAAAUACCAAGAAAAUCAUAUCCGGUUGCUUUUUAUUUAUUUUAUUUAAACUGCCUUUUUACAGAUUUUUAAUGCUACUUCUACAGUGAAUGAAAGACAUUAGCAGUAAAACAAGCUGUCUAUCAUUCUUAUAUUUAAAAAAAAUAAACAGGUGGGCUUAUAUGGUACAUGAGCUUUAUAGGGUCUCUUCUCCUGUAUAAAUAACUAUCUGUUCACUUCUCCCUGCUUUCAUAUUACACAAAUAUAUAUGCUUUUAUAUAUAACGGUACAGAACUCUAUUUUUUUUUCCAGAACCUUUGACAUUAAUGGUGAUUUUUAAAAAUAUUUUUGUAGUGCUGUGUAACAUCAAAAUUCCACUUUCAUUUUCCGUUUUCUGUGUAACAUCAUGCCAGUAGCUGCAAGGAAAAUAUUGGGUUCAUAAAGAGAAAAUAAAAUAUGGAACAGAACCAUGUUAAAAAACAAACAAACAAAAAAAACCCUCAAAUCUAGGGCUGUCAAUCAAUGCUUUAAUGAAUAACUACAUAAAUUGCAUACAGUAUAUCAAUAUUUGUUAAGAAAAGCCCCUAAAUGAAGAUAAUUAAUUCAAUGACAUUACAUUUUUGUGAGUAAAUCACUGAAUAGGCAUUAUAAAAACACUGGGUCAGUGAUGAAAUGCUUAUAUUUUUAAUAGAUAAAUACACUAAAUUAAUGUGUUAAAUUGGCAGCCCUAAAUAAACGAUUAAAUAAACGCAUCAAACAGGACACAAUCUGAAUUCUGUUUUCCACUUUAUUUCUGUAUGAUCAGUUCAAUCCAUUUUAACCAUUCAAUCCUUUAAUGUCAAAAUUUCUGUCAUAAUACAUAUAGCAGGUAUUCAUAAGCUAUAUUUGCUGCCAGAGUGAUGCUUUGAAAUGCAAAUGAGCUUGAGAUCGGCACAAACAGACACCAACGCCUCGACCUCUCUCACCCUGGACCAGCAGUGAUAAAGCUUAAAUGCUCUGAAGCAAUACAAUACCAUUGUAAAGCUACUUUUUGUAAGGUUGUAAUAUGGAGGAUGCUCUUGAAGGAUGUACAUGACAUUUCAGUUUUGAAUGUUGUGAUGAUGUGUAAACAUGUUGGACAGACUACUGGAUCAACCAAGGUUGAACAGAUAUAUAAAUAAAUAUACAACAAUGUUUUCUACAAGUCAUUUCAUGUUCAAUACUGUUAAAAACACAAAAUAAUAAAGAACGUAUAAAAAAGUGAAAUACAAAAGCAGAUUGCUC